RNAcentral lists this ribosomal RNA (305 nucleotides) under uncultured bacterium. Its description in RNAcentral is "partial 16S ribosomal RNA". It matches the Rfam family "Bacterial small subunit ribosomal RNA", at positions 505 to 807 of the family's 1533-position model. The record is from RNAcentral.
ACAGCAGCAGCCGCGGGAAUACAGAGGUCCCGAGCGUUGUUCGGAUUCACUGGGCGUAAAGGGUGUGUAGGAGGUUGGAUAAGUCAGGUGUGAAAUCCCGCAGCUCAACUGCGGAACUGCAUUCGAUACUGUUCAACUAGAGGAUCGGAGGGGGAAGCGGAAUUCUUGGUGUAGCGGUGAAAUGCGUAGAUAUCAAGAGGAACACCGGUGGCGAAGGCGGCUUCCUGGAAGAUACCUGACUCUGAAACACGAAAGCCAGGGGAGCGAAUGGGAUUAGAUACCCCCGUAGUCCCUGUCUCUUAUAC